UACAGAGGUCCCAAGCGUUGUCCGGAAUCACUGGGCGUAAAGGGCGCGUAGGUGGCUCGUGAAGCGUGCGGUGAAAGUCCGAGGCUCAACCUCGGAUCGGCCGUGCGGACUCGCGGGCUGGAACGUUGUAGAGGCGGGUGGAAUUCCGGGUGUAGCGGUGGGAUGCGUAGAGAUCCGGAAGAACACCAGUGGCGAAGGCGGCCCGCUGGGCUGUGGCUGACGCUGAGGCGCGACAGCGUGGGGAGCAAACAGG
This 253-nucleotide ribosomal RNA is filed under the name uncultured bacterium. RNAcentral describes it as "partial 16S ribosomal RNA". It matches the Rfam family "Bacterial small subunit ribosomal RNA", at positions 524 to 776 of the family's 1533-position model. The record is from RNAcentral.